This 328-nucleotide unclassified non-coding RNA is filed under the name soil metagenome. Its description in RNAcentral is "partial contains 5.8S ribosomal RNA, internal transcribed spacer 2, and large subunit ribosomal RNA". The stretch from base 1 to 120 matches the Rfam family "5.8S ribosomal RNA", at positions 35 to 154 of the family's 154-position model. The record is from RNAcentral.
GAUGAAGAACGCAGCGAAAUGCGAUAAGUAGUGUGAAUUGCAGAAUUCAGUGAAUCAUCGAAUCUUUGAACGCACAUUGCGCCCUUUGGUAUUCCAAAGGGCAUGCCUGUUCGAGCGUCAUUUGUACCCUCAAGCUUUGCUUGGUGUUGGGGCCUGCUGCACUGGCAGCCCUUAAAAUCAGUGGCGGCGCCAUCUGGCUCUAAGCGUAGUAAUUCUUCUCGCUAUGGAGUCCUGGUGGAUGCUUGCCAUCAACCCCCAAUUUUUCUAUGGUUGACCUCGGAUCAGGUAGGGAUACCCGCUGAACUUAAGCAUAUCAAUAAGCGGAGGA